RNAcentral lists this long non-coding RNA (216 nucleotides) under Bos taurus (domestic cattle). RNAcentral's name for it is "long non-coding RNA NONBTAT019419". Lineage: Eukaryota; Metazoa; Chordata; Mammalia; Artiodactyla; Bovidae. The record is from RNAcentral.
GUUGAAAGAUAGUGCUUCAGGUUAUUUUUCAUGUGCUGCAAUCUGCUGUUGUCAGUCUGCUUAUGUAGCAAUACAAGAUGUUAAUAUGAUAUCUCGGUCUUAGGUGUUCACAGUUCUGUUUUACAAGCAAUUUUCAUAGUACAUAUGGGGAAAAUAUUUUAAAAUAUACCUCUCUCUCUCUGUCUCUCAUUUUUUUACACUAAGCAAAAUUUAUAA